GAUGAACGCUGGCGGUGUGCCUAAUACAUGCAAGUCGAGCGAACAGACGAUGAGCUUGCUCCUCUGACGUUAGCGGCGGACGGGUGAGUAAGACGUGGAUAACCUACCUAUAAGUCUGGGAUAACUUCGGGAAAACGGAGCCAAUACCAGCUAAUAUAUUCAACCGCAUGGAUCAAUAGUGAAUGACGGCUUUCCUGUCACUUUUAGAUGGUUCCGCGCCGCAUUAGCUAGUUGGUAAGGUAACGGCCUACCAAGGCGACGAUGCGUAGCUGACCUGAGAGGAUGAUCAGCCACACUGGAACUGAGACACGGUCCAGACUCCUACGGGAGGCAGCAGUGGGGAAUAUUCGGCAAUGGGCGAAAGCCUGACGGAGCAACACCGCGUGAGUGAAGAAGGUCUUCGGAUUGUAAAGCCCUUUUGUUAGGGAAGAAAAGCUGUAUGAGAAAACCUCGCUGUCUUGACGGUACCUAAACAGAAAGCCACGGCUAACUUCGUG
Molecule: ribosomal RNA, 497 nt
Filed under: uncultured bacterium
Lineage: Bacteria
Description: partial 16S ribosomal RNA
Rfam family: Bacterial small subunit ribosomal RNA
Source: RNAcentral